AAUAAAAUUGUGCAUCACAACUAUGUAUUCACCAUCUCUUCAAACCCUCUCCUCCUUGUUUCUCUAAGAUUUGCAGUACAACACCAUAACACUCAUCUCUCCGUUUGCCUCGUGAUUCCAUGGAUUCUUGAAGGCGAAACGCUGCUCUCGGGUCUUGUAAAGCCUUGAAACUAUCCCUUUCUUCUUCCUUUGUCAUUCUCGGUCCAAUACACAACAACAAAAAAAAAACUUAAUUCCGCCAUUAAUGGACCUCUCUUGUCGUCUGAUAUUGAAGAAUCAAGCCAUAGCCUUCAAUUGAUAUGAUUUUCGAGCAACAUCAAUGGUAGUGGGCCUUCCUUUCCAUUGAAGGAUGAUUCAAGCAAGCAGCAGACGAAAUCCCCUUUUCUUGUGCCUUUGAAUUCUGCCGCAAACCAAGGAAGCCAAUACGAACCUUGUUUCUAUUGAUUUUGCAUCAAAUUCAGAAUAACCUUAUUUCCUGUUCUUGAUUUCUGCCGUAAACAAAUACGAUUACGUCGAUAAGCCCUUCUAGUCAACUGCAGUGAACCAGUCUCAACUUCUUGAAGCAACGUUAUUGAUUGUUUACAGAUCAGUACAGGCUGGAAACGAUGAAAUAGCGGAGGUGAUUAAAGUAUUCUUGGAAGACAUGUUGUAUUUGAGUAUGUAUAGAGGUUGUAGAGUUAGUAUUGAAUUUUAGUAAUUAUGUCAUAGUUGGUUAUGUUGACUAUUUUGGACUUCUAUGGUUAGUUUAUGAUUACUUUGAGACCUUGGUUUAGAUUUUUGGAUUUAAGAUUAAUUAUUACAGUUAUGUUUUAGACCUCGUGACCCUUCCCACAAGUUAUGGUUUAAAAUUUGAGUUCUUUGGGUUAGUAAACCCCGUGAUGACCUGUCUUACUUAGUCAACGGUAAGUCGGGUUGUUAUAGUUAAAGAGUCACUAAUAAUUUUCAAGUGAUCUAUUAAAAAAUAGACUAAAUAUAAGUUCAUCUCAUGGUGAGACGACAUAUAUGGGGUGCAAGUUUUUCAGUUUAACAUUUGUGUAAGCUCAAAUAUACAUAGAUUUACAAAUUAUUAUAUAAGCUGGUUUUACUGUGAGACAUGUUAUGUAAUAAAUAUUUUAAUUAAUACAAAUUAUGAGAA
Long non-coding RNA from Amaranthus tricolor (Joseph's coat), 1135 nucleotides. RefSeq lists it as uncharacterized. The record is from RefSeq and is a predicted model, not a curated record. The transcript is spliced from 3 exons. Lineage: Eukaryota; Viridiplantae; Streptophyta; Magnoliopsida; Caryophyllales; Amaranthaceae.